AGAGUUUGAUCAUGGCUCAGAUUGAACGCUGGCGGUAUGCUUAACACAUGCAAGUCGAACGGUAACAGGCCUUCGGGCGCUGACGAGUGGCGGACGGGUGAGUAACGCGUAGGAAUCUGCCUCAUAGUGGGGGACAACGUGGGGAAACUCACGCUAAUACCGCAUACGCCCUACGGGGGAAAGCGGGGGAUCUUCGGACCUCGCGCUAUGAGAUGAGCCUGCGUUAGAUUAGCUAGUUGGUAGGGUAAAGGCCUACCAAGGCGACGAUCUAUAGCUGGUCUGAGAGGACGAUCAGCCACACUGGGACUGAGACACGGCCCAGACUCCUACGGGAGGCAGCAGUGGGGAAUAUUGGACAAUGGGCGCAAGCCUGAUCCAGCAAUACCGCGUGUGUGAAGAAGGCCCUAGGGUUGUAAAGCACUUUCAAUUGGGAGGAAAACCUGCCGGUCAAUACCCGGCAGCUUGACAUUACCUUUAGAAGAAGCACCGGCUAACUCCGUG
This 501-nucleotide ribosomal RNA is filed under the name uncultured bacterium. Its description in RNAcentral is "bacterial SSU rRNA". It matches the Rfam family "Bacterial small subunit ribosomal RNA", at positions 8 to 507 of the family's 1533-position model. The record is from RNAcentral.